Molecule: transfer RNA, 65 nt
Filed under: Chlorocebus djamdjamensis (Bale Mountains vervet)
Lineage: Eukaryota; Metazoa; Chordata; Mammalia; Primates; Cercopithecidae
Description: tRNA-Phe
Source: RNAcentral
CGUAGCUUAAAUCCCCAAAGCAAGACACUGAAAAUGCCUAGAUGGAUUCACACAUCCCAUAGACA